ACUCCUACGGGAGGCAGCAGUGGGGAAUAUUGGACAAUGGCCGCAAGCCUGAUCCAGCCAUGCCCCGUGCGUGAGGAAGGCCUUCGGGUUGUAAAGCCCUUUUGUUGGGAAAGAAAAGCAAUCGGUUAAUACCCGGUGUCUGACGGACCCAAAGAAUA
RNAcentral lists this ribosomal RNA (158 nucleotides) under uncultured bacterium. RNAcentral describes it as "partial 16S ribosomal RNA". It matches the Rfam family "Bacterial small subunit ribosomal RNA", at positions 335 to 488 of the family's 1533-position model. The record is from RNAcentral.